Molecule: ribosomal RNA, 624 nt
Filed under: Triticum aestivum (bread wheat)
Lineage: Eukaryota; Viridiplantae; Streptophyta; Magnoliopsida; Poales; Poaceae
Description: partial small subunit ribosomal RNA
Source: RNAcentral
CGGCCUGAAAAUCGUUUUGUUCGAUCAAUGGAGACACUUCAUAGGAAGUUUGAUAGAGUCUUGGAAUGUUUGGUUAAGUUGGCAGGAGACAUAAUUCGCCCACUAGAUCCACAGUUUAGGACACCUCAUCCAAGAGUCCAAAAUCCAAUGUUUGCUCCGUUCUUCGACAAUUGCAUUAGAGCCAUUGAUGGAACACAUAUAGAGGUGGUUGUGCCAAAGACAGACCUCAUCACACACAUGAACCGAAAAUCAACUACUACUCAGAAUGUGCUAGCAAUAUGUGAUUUUGACUUGAGAUUCACUUUCAUCGUUACUGGGUGGCCUGGGUCGGUUCAUGACAUGAGGGUGUUCAAGGCAGCACUAGACAAAUUUGGCAGCCACUUCCCACAUCCUCCCCGAGGGAAGUUUUAUGUGGUGGACUCAGGAUUCUCUAACCAACCUGGUUAUCUUGCACCGUACAAAGGAACGAAGUACCAUUUUCAAGAGUACAAUCAAGGUCCACCGCCAAGAGGUAAAGAACAAACAUUUAAUCAUAGACAUUCCCAAAUUCGCAAUGCAAUAGAGCGAUGCUUUGGAGUACUGAAGAACAAGUUUAGGAUUUUGUUGCACAUGCCCUCUUAUCCA